GACGAACGCUGGCGGCGUGCUUAACACAUGCAGGUCGAACGGAAAGGCCCUGCUUGCAGGGUACUCGAGUGGCGAACGGGUGAGUAACACGUGGGUGAUCUGCCCUGCACUUCGGGAUAAGCCUGGGAAACUGGGUCUAAUACCGGAUAGGAGCCAUUUUUAGUGUGAUGGUUGGAAAGUUUUUUCGGUGUAGGAUGAGCUCGCGGCCUAUCAGCUUGUUGGUGGGGUAAUGGCCUACCAAGGCGGCGACGGGUAGCCGGCCUGAGAGGGUGGACGGCCACAUUGGGACUGAGAUACGGCCCAGACUCCUACGGGAGGCAGCAGUGGGGAAUAUUGCACAAUGGGCGCAAGCCUGAUGCAGCGACGCCGCGUGGGGGAUGACGGCCUUCGGGUUGUAAACUCCUUUCGCUAGGGACGAAGCUUUUUGUGACGGUACCUAGAUAAGAAGCACCGGCUAACUACGUG
This 465-nucleotide ribosomal RNA is filed under the name uncultured bacterium. RNAcentral describes it as "partial 16S ribosomal RNA". It matches the Rfam family "Bacterial small subunit ribosomal RNA", at positions 28 to 507 of the family's 1533-position model. The record is from RNAcentral.